UUGGGAGGACAUUCCCCUUUUACUUGAACCUUCACCCAAUUUCGGCAAUGAUAAGCCAAGUGAUGUAAUGCUCUGUGGGUCUGCUGAGAAAAAUAACCUUAGAGUCAACAUACCAUUGAUUUGGAAUGUGGAUUUUCGACAUUCAUUUCCACCCGCACGGUCUGAUUGGGAGUCUAGCAACAAUAAUGCGGUGAUGAAUGAUUUAUCACUUUACGAUAAUGUGACGGUUUCGUCAUACUUAGUGGAUCCAAACGUUCCUGAGCAAUCAGUGGUAGAGCUAACGAUGCCUUCAUCUGUGAGGGAUAGGCAACCAGCGGGGCCGAUAGGAAUCCUGAGAGCGGAAUCUUCCAGGUCCAGUGGCAGAUCUGUUGGUUUCCUUGAGGACUUCAGGCAUAGUCAGGCUCGAGGGUUUCGAAGUGAUUCAACAAUAGUGAAUGGCUCCAGCUGGCCCGCGUUUUCUCGCGACUCAACAGCAUUUUCAAGUCUUCCUAUGGAGAGGCCUGCUUCCAUUUCAUCCAGUGCCAAACAACCAAAAUCAGAUGAAGAGAAUGACGAGGAGGACUACUCAGCGAGCGCGAGCGCCAUCAUCAGCCGAGUCUCGGCCGGGGGCAGACGCCGCGCCGCCAAUCGACGGGCGUCCUCCCACUCCCCCGAGUUCGGUCUCCCGUCAUGCAACAGGCGCAGAUCAUCCGUUUUCACCACCAGCUCCGCCGAGUAAGUCAGUUAGGAAUGGCUAGAGUCCCUUUAUACCGAGAGUCAAAACAACACCCCCUCAUGGAGUCACAAACGGGAAUAAAGAUUACACAAAUGGAA
Molecule: long non-coding RNA, 813 nt
Filed under: Bemisia tabaci
Lineage: Eukaryota; Metazoa; Arthropoda; Insecta; Hemiptera; Aleyrodidae
Description: lncRNA ENSSSA1NGG005860
Source: RNAcentral